RNAcentral lists this ribosomal RNA (174 nucleotides) under uncultured Polynucleobacter sp. RNAcentral's name for it is "partial 16S ribosomal RNA". It matches the Rfam family "Bacterial small subunit ribosomal RNA", at positions 1214 to 1382 of the family's 1533-position model. The record is from RNAcentral. Lineage: Bacteria; Pseudomonadati; Pseudomonadota; Betaproteobacteria; Burkholderiales; Burkholderiaceae.
CUUCACACGUCAUAACAAGUGGUGCAUACAGGAGGGUUGACCCAACCCGCGAGGGGGAGCUAAUCUCAGAAAAUGCAUCGUAGUCCGGAUCGUAGUCUGCAACUCGACUACGUGAAGCUGGAAUCGCUAGUAAUCGCGGAUCAGCAUGCCGCGGUGAAUACGUUCCCGGGCCUU